UACAGAGGGGGCAAGCGUUGUUCGGAAUUACUGGGCGUAAAGGGCGCGUAGGCGGCCUUCUAAGUCGAACGUGAAAUCCCCGGGCUCAACCCGGGAACUGCGUCCGAUACUGGAAGGCUUGAAUCCGGGAGAGGGAUGCGGAAUUCCAGGUGUAGCGGUGAAAUGCGUAGAUAUCUGGAGGAACACCGGUGGCGAAGGCGGCAUCCUGGACCGGUAUUGACGCUGAGGCGCGAAAGCGUGGGGAGCGAACGGG
RNAcentral lists this ribosomal RNA (253 nucleotides) under uncultured bacterium. RNAcentral describes it as "partial 16S ribosomal RNA". It matches the Rfam family "Bacterial small subunit ribosomal RNA", at positions 524 to 776 of the family's 1533-position model. The record is from RNAcentral.